AAAGAAUAAACAUAUACAUGACUCAUAAGCUUUUAUAGAAUCCUUGUUCUCUAUUUCUGACAUAAUUUCUUGUGGUUCUUUUUCUUCCUAGGGUCAGAAUAAAAUCUUUCAAAAGAUUUCUUGGGAACUGAGAUAAGAGCAGAUUUGCGUCCCUUAUCAGUGGGUCUUUAGCUCCAUGGUGCACAUUUAGGAACAUCCUGAACUUGGAAAUGGAUACUCCUUUGGGAUGCC
RNAcentral lists this long non-coding RNA (231 nucleotides) under Sus scrofa (pig). Its description in RNAcentral is "lncRNA (ENSSSCG00060033742.1)". The record is from RNAcentral. Lineage: Eukaryota; Metazoa; Chordata; Mammalia; Artiodactyla; Suidae.